AACGCACCUUGCGCUCCUUGGCAUUCCGAGGAGCAUGCCUGUUUGAGUGUCAUGUCAAUACUCAAAUCCAUGCCUUUGUGUAUGGGUUUGGACUUGAAGGGUUUGCUGGCUUUUCGGAGCUGGCUCCUUUUAAAUGCAUUAGCUGGUUUUAUGAGCCUGUUUUUCAGUGUUGUAAAUUUUUAAUACGCGCUGUGAUGAACUAGUUCAACUUGCCGCUGAUAGACAACAUUUUUCUAUGUCUCUGACCUCAAAUCAGGUAGGAUUACCCGCUGAACUUAA
RNAcentral lists this unclassified non-coding RNA (279 nucleotides) under uncultured fungus. Its description in RNAcentral is "partial contains 5.8S ribosomal RNA, internal transcribed spacer 2, and large subunit ribosomal RNA". The stretch from base 1 to 52 matches the Rfam family "5.8S ribosomal RNA", at positions 103 to 154 of the family's 154-position model. Lineage: Eukaryota; Fungi. The record is from RNAcentral. RNAcentral also lists the same sequence under 1 other name.